Megalobrama amblycephala (Wuchang bream) is the source of this 2972-nucleotide long non-coding RNA. RefSeq lists it as uncharacterized. Lineage: Eukaryota; Metazoa; Chordata; Actinopteri; Cypriniformes; Xenocyprididae. The record is from RefSeq and is a predicted model, not a curated record. The transcript has 5 exons.
UAGGCGAGCACUGCUGCAACUAGCAGGUGGCUAAUCAUGGUUGAUCGACUAAAAACUUUGUAUUAAAUGUUAUUAUUAAUUCUCCAAGUAUUCAAUAGGCUGUCAUGAUAAAACCUAUCCAGAUAAAAAAAAACAUUCUCACUGAAACAAAGCACAUGAUGCAUACAUUUACACAACAGUCGCCAAAAAAGCAUACAUAUUUUGUCUACUUUAGGCCUACUAAAUUAUACGUCACAGCCGGAGCCUCGUUUGAUUCCUGUCAGAAAUUAAAUAUGGCGGCGCUACCCUGACUAAGGUCUAUAGGUCUCACAGCUAGGCUAGAAGCUCUUCACUCAAUGGGAAUUGGCUGCUGCUCGGUUACGUAGCAACGCGGGUUCUUUGACAAGAUGAAGCGCAAUGCAAACACAAGUUCGCGGUCCUCCACGCGCAUUUUACUAGUGAAAAUGCGCCAUGACGCAAAGGAACUUGUCCCAGGACUAACUUUUUUCCCAGGUGGACUGAAGAACCAUGACUGCUGAAAAAGGCUUUAUAGCCAGCCAAUCAGAAUGGAACGGGCAAUUUUUGGAGGCUGAGACGAGAUAAAACGUACUGUAAGUGAGAGCUAAAAGUUUCAAUUUGAACUUCAUGCCAGAGCUUCAGGAAGGUGAAAGCAAGGUGGGAGUCUUACAAACGCAAGGUGCAAGCGAGAAAAAAAGGGAAGAAGAAAAAGAAAACCACACACGCCAUCCAUUGGUCUUUGUAUUGAUUCACAGGGGUGUUGAAAAGGUCUUUGGUCAUGCCCUUACCAAAGCAUACUAAUUUGCUUGAUCAAGUCUGUCAGAAUAUCGACUGGGAGGAGGUACAGCACCCGCCAUUGUGUUUUCUUCAGCGGGGAGCCGGUCUGUGAAACAGGAUUACCAGAGGUCACGCAGGCAGUGAAAGGAUGUCCAUCACUUUCUGUCUGCUAAUACAAAGGGGCGGGAACUGGGACGUGAUUGAGAUGUUGAAGAGAAGAGGAAUGGCAGUUUCAAAAAAGAAAAACAUCUCUUGCAUGCAAAUGUCUCACUGUUAAUGUAUUCAUAGCCAUCUCACGGAGUUUUAAUCACAGGAGAUGGCUGGCUUACAGUUUCCUGUUUUAUUUCAGGCUCAGAAACAGAAGGUUGAAAUUGAACGCUCUUGCCGUGUUCAAAAAAUACAAUGUAACAAAGUUUUAUUGUUUCAGCUUUAUUGUAACAUUUCAUAAAUUUUGACUUUGACAGUGACAAAGAGUUUUACAAAAUUAUUUCCUUAAAAUCAUCAGCUGAAAAAUGAAUUUUAUACGGUAUAAAUGUUUUAAAUGACAGGAAAACAGAAUAACCUCGGAUUAACAUUGCUGUGAGCUACAGCAUUUUCUGUUAUGAUGAGCAAGAUGAAAGUUAUUUAAAUUUGAAUUUAAUAAAAAUGUACUGCAUGAAAGGUCUAAAUUUCAACAGCAACAAAAUGCAUUUCUUUUCAUUUAAUUAAUUUUUUUUCGCUACUUUCAUGAGUUAUUGAAUUUAUUGCAUUCUUUUUGAACUGGCUUGAGCAGAUGAAAAGAUGUACAUUUUACGCUUAGGAAAAACUCUGAACUGUAAAGAAGCUUUUACAAAAAACAAAAAAAAACUUUCAGGUUGUGAGGUUUAUUUGCAAUUUAAUUAUUGUAUCAAUUUAAAUGUUCAUUAUGGUCUGAUAUGACAAACAUGAAAAGUAAGUCCAAAUUUGCCAUAUUGUAUAAAUGUUUCACAGUCACUUUGCCCAACUGUAUGUUCCCCAUGAGCGUGGGGCUCUAUAAAUAACCCAUUGUGUCUGGACUCCUAAUGUUUCCUAAUCUCUGCACACUGCUGAAAUUCUACGCCACAUCAUCCAACAAGCCUCUUUGCUCAACAGUGGUUUUUAUUAUACCCAUUAUUAUAACAAAUAUCCAAUUAUCCAUUAUCUUGUAGAUCUGAUUGUAUACCUCUUUGUGGCGGUAAGGUCAAAUACUCUUACCUCUAUACGUGGAACAUCUGCCCGUGCUUCCUGUCUCAUCUGCAGCCCUCGUGGCCAGCAGCCCUUUUAACCUGAUCACAUAGGUAUUUUGCUUUCAUUCCCCCCCUGCGUUUUGUUUGUUUGAUUGGCUGAGCAGGUGUUUUAUAACCAUUAGAGACUUCAUUGCGACCCUGUCUCUGAGUAGUAAGCAAAUAGAACAAGCAGACAGCCAAGUCAUGCAAGUGAUUUCUUUCCCUCAAUGGAACCAUCUGGUGACUGAGCGAAAGAAAAAAAGGAAGCAUAGGUCAUCAGUGUGGUUGUUUACCUUUGGCUACAUAAUUGUGUUUCGAGGAAAGCGUGAGGUCACGGGCGAGGCUGCCAGUCGGUUCUGCAGGUUUCAAGGGCUUCGUUGGUGUCCUUGUUCAUUGCGAUUUCUUAUUUGUGGAGUCUGUAUUAUUUAAUUAUUGAUAAAAAUUGUAUAUUCCACUUAAUGUCUUAAUAUUUUAAUUGAAUUUUAAUUGAAAUAAAUGUAUUAAUCAUAUGUAUUUUUCUUGUUUAUUAAUAUUAGUUUUGUUAUUUUCUCCCCGUUAUCUUUAGAAACAUCUCUCUUUCCUUUGUUAGUCAAGUGUCCAUCAGUCAAUCAAUGAAUCAUCUCAGCUAUUUGGACCCAUUUUUGUAACUAAAGCAACUGUGACUCCAGCAUCCUGCUCUCGGUGAUGACAGUGGAAAGAUUGAAAUGUUUGUUUUGUGUGUUUUUUUUUCAGUGGUGUCAACAAACAUUCAGAAUAGACAUUCAUCCCUCCUUGUACUGGGCAGACCAUUACGCCACACUACUACAUUUAUUCUUCCACUGGCAUUCAGUAAGCGAUGGUGGAGGUUCCCUAUUCCCAGCCGUGGCCAUCUUCCCAGUUCAAACGCUGAUUAAAGCAGACUACGUGUCACAUCCUGUUACAAUAUGAGCCAGAAUGUGAAAUCCUGGGAGAUUUGAAUAAAGAAUUUUCUCUCCA